UACGUAGGGGGCUAGCGUUAUCCGGAAUUACUGGGCGUAAAGGGUGCGUAGGCGGUCUUUCAAGCCAGAAGUGAAAGGCUACGGCUCAACCGUAGUAAGCUUUUGGAACUGUAGGACUUGAGUGCAGGAGAGGAGAGUGGAAUUCCUAGUGUAGCGGUGAAAUGCGUAGAUAUUAGGAGGAACACCAGUAGCGAAGGCGGCUCUCUGGGCUGUAACUGACGCUGAGGCACGAAAGCGUGGGGAGCAAACAGG
This 252-nucleotide ribosomal RNA is filed under the name uncultured bacterium. RNAcentral's name for it is "partial 16S ribosomal RNA". It matches the Rfam family "Bacterial small subunit ribosomal RNA", at positions 524 to 776 of the family's 1533-position model. The record is from RNAcentral.